AGUGAACGCUGGCGGCAUGCCUAAUACAUGCAAGUCGAACGGAGAUUAAGUAGCUUGCUAUUUAAUCUUAGUGGCGCACGGGUGAGUAAUAUAUAGCUAACUUGCCCAUUACUAAGGGACAACAGUUGGAAACGACUGCUAAUACCUUAUACUCCGUAUCUAUAUAAGUAGAUACGGGAAAGUUUUUCGGUAAUGGAUAGGGCUAUAUCGUAUCAGCUAGUUGGUAAGGUAAUGGCUUACCAAGGCUAUGACGCGUAACUGGUCUGAGAGGAUGAUCAGUCACACUGGAACUGAGACACGGUCCAGACUCCUACGGGAGGCAGCAGUAGGGAAUAUUGCUCAAUGGGGGAAACCCUGAAGCAGCAACGCCGCGUGGAGGAUGACACUUUUCGGAGCGUAAACUCCUUUUCUUGGGAAAGAAUUAUGACGGUACCCAAGGAAUAAGCACCGGCUAACUCCGUG
RNAcentral lists this ribosomal RNA (462 nucleotides) under uncultured bacterium. RNAcentral's name for it is "partial 16S ribosomal RNA". It matches the Rfam family "Bacterial small subunit ribosomal RNA", at positions 29 to 507 of the family's 1533-position model. The record is from RNAcentral.